Molecule: ribosomal RNA, 699 nt
Filed under: Sardiniella celtidis
Lineage: Eukaryota; Fungi; Ascomycota; Dothideomycetes; Botryosphaeriales; Botryosphaeriaceae
Description: partial large subunit ribosomal RNA
Rfam family: Eukaryotic large subunit ribosomal RNA
Source: RNAcentral
AUGCCUUAGUAACGGCGAGUGAAGCGGCAAUAGCUCAAAUUUGAAAGCUGGCCCCUUUGGGGUCCGCAUUGUAAUUUGUAGAGGAUGAUUCGGCGAGGGCUCCCGUCUAAGUCCCCUGGAACGGGGCGUCAUAGAGGGUGAGAAUCCCGUAUGUGAUGGGUUGCCUUAGCCAUGUGAAUCUCCUUCGACGAGUCGAGUUGUUUGGGAAUGCAGCUCUAAAUGGGAGGUAAAUUUCUUCUAAAGCUAAAUACCGGCCAGAGACCGAUAGCGCACAAGUAGAGUGAUCGAAAGAUGAAAAGCACUUUGGAAAGAGAGUUAAAAAGUACGUGAAAUUGUUGAAAGGGAAGCGCUUGCAGCCAGACUUGUCCGCAGUUGCUCAACCGGUCUCCUGACCGGUGUACUCUUCUGCGGCCAGGCCAGCAUCAGUUCGGGCGGUCGGAUAAAGGCCUCGGGAAUGUAUCUCCUCUCGGGGAGUGUUAUAGCCCGGGGCGGAAUGCGGCCAGCCUGGACUGAGGAUCUCGCUUCGGCUAGGAUGCUGGCGUAAUGGCUGUAAGCGGCCCGUCUUGAAACACGGACCAAGGAGUCUAACAUCUAUGCGAGUGUUUGGGUGUCAAACCCAUACGCGUAAUGAAAGUGAACGGAGGUGGGAACCCUUACGGGUGCACCAUCGACCGAUCCUGAUGUCUUCGGAUGGAUUUG